AGUUCAUGAUGUGGAAAUUUCCUUAACAAGUCUCUAAUUCUUUCUCAAGUUUCAUAUAAUGACUCACAAUCAUGUUGACAAAAACUAGUUAUACGCAUUCUAUAUUU
Coffea eugenioides is the source of this 107-nucleotide small nucleolar RNA. Lineage: Eukaryota; Viridiplantae; Streptophyta; Magnoliopsida; Gentianales; Rubiaceae. The record is from RefSeq and is a predicted model, not a curated record.